UAUUUUCAAGAUGGCGUAUUUGGUGUAUUGGAUUUUUGCAGGUUUAGGAUUCUUGAGAUGCUAAUCACAACAAUUUGUGAGCAAAUUAAUUGUUUAACGACUCAAAAGAAAAAUAGAGGAACCAAUCAACCAAAAUUGUACAAUCUUCAGGCGAUGGAUCAUGACAGGAAGCAACAAACUUCGAAUCGUAUAGUUUAAUAUUCUUUGUUGAUAUUAUUGAUGCCUUCAAAUAAUAUCAAACUUAAUCUUUAUCAAAUGCAAAUAGUGAUACGGAUAAACUCAAAUA
RNAcentral lists this long non-coding RNA (286 nucleotides) under Aedes aegypti (yellow fever mosquito). RNAcentral's name for it is "lncRNA AAEL024322". The record is from RNAcentral. Lineage: Eukaryota; Metazoa; Arthropoda; Insecta; Diptera; Culicidae.